UACGUAGGGUGCAAGCGUUGUCCGGAUUCACUGGGUUUAAAGGGUGCGUAGGCGGUUUAGUAAGUCUGGCUUCAAAGACUGCAGCUCAACUGCGGGGAGGGGUCAGAUACUGUUAAACUUGAGAGUACUUGGGGCAGGCGGAAUUUGUGGUGUAGCGGUGAAAUGCUUAGAUACCACAAGGAACACCGAUCGCGAAGGCAGCCUGCCAAGGUAACUCUGACGCUGAGGCACGAAAGCGUGGGUAGCAAACAGG
This 253-nucleotide ribosomal RNA is filed under the name uncultured bacterium. RNAcentral describes it as "partial 16S ribosomal RNA". It matches the Rfam family "Bacterial small subunit ribosomal RNA", at positions 524 to 776 of the family's 1533-position model. The record is from RNAcentral.